CUCCUCGGGUGUGUGUGCCCUUCAUAACACCUCGUCCUUGAGUGCAGGUGGGCCUGCGUUAAUUAGGCGAGCCCUUGUGAGAGAGGUCUAAAGAUAGAAGACAUGAAAGAGAUUCAGAGCUGCAGAAGAUGCUCUCCUGUUGUUCUGCAAGGGGCAGACUGCCAUAUGUGAGAGGCUCUAUGGAGAGGCCACACAGGAAGCAAGGACCUGCAUGCAGCCUCCAGGAGCUGAGAGCGGUCCCUGGCCAAAAGCUGGCAAGGAAUUGGAGACCUCAGUCCUACUGCCAUAAGGACAUGCAUCCUGCCAACAACCAGGGAUCUUGGAAUGAGAACAUAAGCCUCAGAUGAGAUGGCAGUCCCAGGUGACACCUUGAUUUCAGCCUGCUUCACCAUGAGAUGGCCUUGAGGAUAGAAGUUGCGUACUAAGAUGAUGGAGCAGACAGAUGAAACCUUGUACUAAGAUGAUGGAGCAGACAGAUGAAAGAUGGAGGCCUUGGUGAAAGGCAGUUGAAAUUAAUUCUGACACAGGAAGCAAAAGUGGAAGUGAGAAACUAAUAAAGAGAUGACUGCAGUAUUCCAUGUGAGAGAUGAAGUUGAUGUGGACCAGGGCAAAUGGUGGAAGUGCUGGGAGGUGUAAGAUACCAAAUAUACUUUGAAGGGCAUUCUGCAAGUGAUUACGUGACACUGAUUACAUGAACGGUUUCCAAUCAUGGCCCCAGUUUUGGAGUCUGCCACCGGGAGUUAAUGAAA
RNAcentral lists this long non-coding RNA (749 nucleotides) under Homo sapiens (human). RNAcentral describes it as "HSALNT0293583". The record is from RNAcentral. Lineage: Eukaryota; Metazoa; Chordata; Mammalia; Primates; Hominidae.